CAGGAUGAACGCUGGCGGUCUGCUUAACACAUGCAAGUCGAACGCAACCUUCGGGUUGAGUGGCGGACGGGUGAGUAACGCGUGAGAAUCUGCCUUGGGGUCGGGGACAACCACUGGAAACGGUGGCUAAUACCGGAUAAGCCUUUGGGUAAAAAAUUUAUUGCCCCAAGAGGAGCUCGCGUCUGAUUAGCUAGUUGGUGAGGUAAAAGCUCACCAAGGCAGCGAUCAGUAGCUGGUCUGAGAGGACGAUCAGCCACACUGGGACUGAGACACGGCCCAGACUCCUACGGGAGGCAGCAGUGGGGAAUUUUCCGCAAUUGGGCGAAAGCCUGACGGAGCAAGACCGAGUGAGGGAGGAAGGCUCUUGGGUUGUAAAACCUCUAAUACUCAGGGGAAGAAAGCUCUGACGGUACCUGAGGAAUCAGCCUCGGCUUAACUCCGUGCCAGCAGCCGCGGUAAUACGGAGGAGGCAAGCAUUAUCCGGAAUUAUUGGGCGUAAAGCGUCCGAAGGUGGCGAUU
This 519-nucleotide ribosomal RNA is filed under the name uncultured organism. Its description in RNAcentral is "bacterial SSU rRNA". It matches the Rfam family "Bacterial small subunit ribosomal RNA", at positions 25 to 583 of the family's 1533-position model. The record is from RNAcentral.